This 468-nucleotide ribosomal RNA is filed under the name uncultured bacterium. RNAcentral describes it as "partial 16S ribosomal RNA". It matches the Rfam family "Bacterial small subunit ribosomal RNA", at positions 28 to 507 of the family's 1533-position model. The record is from RNAcentral.
GACGAACGCUGGCGGCGUGCUUAACACAUGCAAGUCGAACGGAAAGGCCCUGCUUUUGUGGGGUGCGCGAGUUGCGAACGGGUGAGUAACACGUGAGUAACCUGCCCUUGACUUUGGGAUAACUUCAGGAAACUGGGGCUAAUACCGGAUAGGAGCUCCUGCUGCAGGGUGGGGGUUGGAAGGUUUAGGCGGUUGGGGAUGGACUCGCGGCUUAUCGGCUUGUUGGUGGGGUAGUGGCUUACCAAGGCUUUGACGGGUAGCAGGCCUGCGAGGGUGACCGGCCACAUUGGGCCUGAGCUACGGCCCAGACUCCUACGGGAGGCAGCAGUGGAGAAUAUUGCACAAUGGGCGGAAGCCUGAUGCAGCAACGCCGCGUGCGGGAUGACGGCCUUCGGUUAGUAAACCGCUUUCGCCUGUGACGAAGCGUGAGUGACGGUAAUGGGUAAAGAAGCACCGGCUAACUACGUG